This 1379-nucleotide long non-coding RNA is filed under the name Mus spicilegus (steppe mouse). Its description in RNAcentral is "lncRNA (ENSMSIG00000023556.1)". The record is from RNAcentral. Lineage: Eukaryota; Metazoa; Chordata; Mammalia; Rodentia; Muridae.
AGCUUUAGGUGAUGAAUCUAUUACUUAUUAACAAGAGGUUAUGCUCACUUGUGUAAGUAGAAGGUGUGAAAGCUUUCUUCAUUUUUAAACACUAUGACCUACUAAAGAGGAAUGUAAAAAGAUAAAGACUGCUACAAAUGCCGCAUUUCAUGGAAUGAGGCCAACUGAGAACCACCAGAAGUGCAAAGACAUGAAUUCAUGGGGAGAUGGCAGAAAGAUGACACAGGAGAAACAGACUGUGGAACUGCCUACCCGAGCCUCCUACCUCCCUACAAAGCCACAUUUGGAGCUCCAAGGACACACCACACACAGAAGAUGCGCAGAGGAUUUUGUACAAAUAUGUGAUGGCUUGAAAUCUCCAUUUUUAAAAGGAACUUAAAGACUGUCUUCAGUUACUUGUAAGAGGUUGGUUUUGUUUAACUAAACCUGAAAUGGAUAGUAAUCGCUGCAUGGAUUUUACUUUCAAUGCUUCAUGAAGUUGCAAGUCAUCCUUGAGCAGGAGACAUGCCAGUCUUGGUCUCAUUCAGAGUUUAUUAUGUGUGCUGCUCGGUGAACACCACUGGAUGGAUUUUUAGUUCCUGGCCUAAAACAACAUACCUAUAAGCAUGCAGCUACUAGCUAUAGUUCUUGAUUUCUGUAUCAUGUGAGAUUCUUGUACUAAGCAUAAAAGAAUAGUAAGAAGCUUACUGUAAAUGUCUAUUAAGGAGGCCCUGGAUAACAGUCUCACCUGGAAAUCAUCUCUCCAUGAUGUAUCACUUCCUAAGUGAAGCAGGUGAUGACCUGAAGCAAGAGUUUGGACAGUGCCUCUUGACUCAACAGAGCAGAUGUUUCUUGGGGCUGUAUGAAUGCUCUGUGUUCUUUGCCUUUUCAUUCUGUCUGGGAUGGAGGAUCUUGAUAAUACUUUUCUAAGGUCCCAAGUGAGAGUGCCUACCUGAAAAGUACCAGGUGUGGAAGGAUGCCUUGAGUUCCUUAUAUUAGACCCUUUGAAAAGGAGGGAAUUACCCUGGCAUCCAAUUUCCCCAGCUGCCCUGGGUUUUGUUGUUCAAGUAUUCUAUGCAUUUCUUCUUCCAUCUGUAAAAUAGUAACUGUCUACUAUUUCUCAUUGAGAUUUGUUGCGAAACAGAGACUGAUUAUAGGUAAAAGUACUUUAUAAAAGUCAUCUGUGUUUGUGUUAACCAUCUAUUGAAAAAUGCAUUGAGUUUGUGUGCAUGCCACAGGCCUUUCAUCAUCUGCCCUGACAGGUGUACCUCUUCACCUUCUGUCUCUUCACCCUUGCUUCUACACACCGCCCCUCUAAGCACUUACAGCACCCACGUCUCUUCCCUCCUUGGGCUGUCCUGUGCCUUAGUGGUUGAGAGCUGAGGUGCAGCAUGGAGCCC